RNAcentral lists this long non-coding RNA (2057 nucleotides) under Homo sapiens (human). Its description in RNAcentral is "HSALNT0167683". The record is from RNAcentral. Lineage: Eukaryota; Metazoa; Chordata; Mammalia; Primates; Hominidae.
AAUAAAAUCUGGCACUAGAUGCACCCUGCCUCCUUAUAUAAGAGGGGGCGGGAGACAAGCCCUAUCAGCACAUCCCAGAAAAUGGGAAACCGAAUCACCCAGGGGAUGGCAAGGAAUGACCAGAGGGAAAGUUCCAGUUCUGUCCAACAUGCACUACCAGCCCCAUUUUGGAAAAGAACAGAUUUAAUAGACCUCACCAAGACAAGAAUUGUUUUUCGUCAAAGGAAAUCAAAGGAACAAACAAGAGGCAGUGACCACCAGAGACUUCACCUUUUGGUGUAGGAAAACCCAAGCAGACAGUGUCUACAUCCAUCAAAGCCCAAUGUAUUAAAUAUUUAUUGAAUAAGAACCCACGGACUCUUCCUUACCAGAGCCUUAGAUUGCCAUGUGCGUCUGAUUGCUCCAAAGACAAGACUAUUGUGAUUUUGGCCCCAUAUGCAUUUUAGAGUAACAAGUCUUACCAGAAAAAUAAUAGCCAGCCCCAGCUUAAUUCCUAGAGAAACUCAAACCACCUUGUUAAGAACAAUCCCAGAGGAGAGUUUAUACUAAGGAGCACUACACAAUGCUGUUUGCCAUCUCUGGGCCCUCUAAAAGCAAGCCCAACCUUGGAAAAGGAAUGUCUGCCACCAGGGAAACGUGGCUGCACUGCUGGAGGAAGAACUUGAUCAUGACGGGCAAUGCUUGGAAGUAAAGAAGCAUCUGCUGCCUUGGAAAGGCUUGGUCAGGGCAAUCAUUGUCACAGGCCAUGUUUUUUCUCUGACUAUCUCUUGGAAUUUCAGAGUGACUAAGUGAUUACUACAAUUAGAGCAAGAGGCGGUGUCUUCCAGAAGUCGGUGUGGGCAGCACCAAACCAUCCACCAUGCAUCAGAGAAAAGCCAGACAGCUGGAAGGCUCUAUUCCCAGGCCACUCUCCAGUCCUCAAACAUGUCACCAUCUCUCAUGCCUCCUUACUGGGCCCAUGCUGUCUCCUUGACCAGGAAUGUCCUCCACCCCGAUCCCAUCCCCAUAGCCCCCUUCACUGUAAGAUCUGGGCCCAGCAAAUUGCCCAGCUCCUCUUCUCUGAAUGCUUCUUUAAUGUCUCUGAGAAGGAGUUCCUUCCUCCUUUACUGUCCAUCUCUUCCACCACAUGAGGGGUUUGGGGGAGGUCUUUGAAGACAAGGGACCCUUCCUCAUUCAUAUUUGAAUACUGAGCCCAAGCACACGCCCCUAGCAUCUGCAAUACACACAUGUCAAGGUGAAUGGGGAGAUAGAUGCCAAGAUCCUUGAGCGCUGCAAAUCUUCACUGCCAACUUCAACUACUCCAAAAUAAAGUCAAAAUUUUAAAAGUAAGCUUUGAUGACUCAAGUGACUAAUUUUAUGGACAAGGGCCCCUUAAUGAAAUCUAAGAGGAGGAAUGUGGUGACAUAAGCAGGACAUGGCUGUGAGACACUGAGCAAACAGUUUAUCCUCCCUGAGCUUCGAUUUUCUCAUCUGUAAAAACGAAGAAUGGUGGCAAUUUGAGCUCAAAGUCCAUCUCUAACAUUCUAACUCAGUGAAGCAGCCUGUGGCAUUUUCACAUCCUUAAACGGAAAUGUGUUACACGUCAAGGAUGAUUCCUCAAGGCAUUUUGCUGCCCUCCUGGGUUGAUAUUUUUCCUUUCAUUUUCACCUUAAGCCCCGCUCCUGUUUAUUGCUCACAAUGCACUCCAGACUGGGGAUGGCUGACAAUUCCCCCAUGAAGGACACACUGUAAAGACAGAUGGAACUGCUGCCUAGUCAAGCUGCACUUAAUGCAACGUCACCCCAAGACAGCCUGCACCUUCUUCCCCAAUGCAUCUGAGCCUACCCUUAGCCAGCCCUCACCCUCGCCUCCCCCAGCAACCAGCAAAGCUCUUCCCAAGUCAUGCCUGAGCCCAGAUAAUUUCAUUAUUUUACAGAGGCAUCUCUGUGUGCCCAUAUAUCCUGUCAUUCUCCUUGUCCAUGACAAAUGCUUGGCAUAAAAGUUACCUUUGGAAAUGUGUUAAGGCAGGCAGCAUGCACAUUCAGAGAGGCCGGGGUGGGGAAGGCGAGAAGGAUGGG